Molecule: ribosomal RNA, 441 nt
Filed under: uncultured bacterium
Lineage: Bacteria
Description: partial 16S ribosomal RNA
Rfam family: Bacterial small subunit ribosomal RNA
Source: RNAcentral
CCUACGGGUGGCAGCAGUGGGGAAUAUUGCACAAUGGGGGAAACCCUGAUGCAGCAACGCCGCGUGAGUGAAGGAGUAUUUCGGUAUGUAAAGCUCUAUCAGUAGGUAAGAAGAAAGACGGUACCUGACUAAGAAGACCCGGCUAACUACGUGCCAGCAGCCGCGGUACAACGGAGGGGGCAAUAGUUAUCCGGAUUUACUGGGCGUAAAGGGAGCGUAGACGGGUGAGCAAGUCUGAAGUGAAAGCCAGUGGCUCAACCGCGGAACUGCUUUGGAACCUGUAUGGCUUGAGUACUGGAGAGGCAGGUGGAAUUCCUAGUGUAGCGGUGAAAUGCGUAGAUAUUAGGAGGAAUACUAGUGGCGAAGGCGGCCUGCUGGACAGAAACUGACGUUGAGGCUCGAAAGCGUGGGGAGCAAACAGGAUUAGAUACCCUAGUAGUC